Long non-coding RNA from Tupaia belangeri chinensis (Chinese tree shrew), 288 nucleotides. RefSeq lists it as uncharacterized. The transcript is spliced from 3 exons. The record is from RefSeq and is a predicted model, not a curated record. NCBI's taxonomy places the organism in Eukaryota, Metazoa, Chordata, Mammalia, Scandentia, Tupaiidae.
CGGAGGCUGCCAGAGGCUCGCCGCUCUCUCCCCCAGAUCCCGACAGCCUCCAGCUUUGCUUCCGUGGGCCUAGGAUUUCCAGAUUUAGGUUUAAAAUAAGCCCAUACAUUUCUGCUCCAACCUCAGAAGUGUCCAGGACCGCGAAACUCCGGGCCCAGACUGGAAGUCCUCAGUAGCUUCUCCCAGCCUCUGCACAGAAAUGUGUGACGGACGCCACCCACCCCGGCUUCCAGGGCUGUUCUGGAGAUGCCCCCGCAUCCCGAAUGCCGCGCCCCUACCCACCAGAUU